This is a long non-coding RNA of Ochotona curzoniae (black-lipped pika), 109 nucleotides long. RefSeq lists it as uncharacterized. NCBI's taxonomy places the organism in Eukaryota, Metazoa, Chordata, Mammalia, Lagomorpha, Ochotonidae. The record is from RefSeq and is a predicted model, not a curated record. The transcript has 3 exons.
GUGUUGUCAACACACAGCAGGUAGGGCACUUUCUGACCGGAAGCCAGGGUUGCUAUUGGCACUGCUUGCUUCUGUUUCCCCGUGGCAGGUGGGGAAUACCAAGAGAAGG